RNAcentral lists this ribosomal RNA (490 nucleotides) under Limosilactobacillus mucosae. RNAcentral describes it as "bacterial SSU rRNA". It matches the Rfam family "Bacterial small subunit ribosomal RNA", at positions 60 to 506 of the family's 1533-position model. Lineage: Bacteria; Bacillati; Bacillota; Bacilli; Lactobacillales; Lactobacillaceae. The record is from RNAcentral.
AGUCGAACGCGUUGGCCCAACUGAUUGAACGUGCUUGCACGGACUUGACGUUGGUUUACCAGCGAGUGGCGGACGGGUGAGUAACACGUAGGUAACCUGCCCCAAAGCGGGGGAUAACAUUUGGAAACAGAUGCUAAUACCGCAUAACAAUUUGAAUCGCAUGAUUCAAAUUUAAAAGAUGGCUUCGGCUAUCACUUUGGGAUGGACCUGCGGCGCAUUAGCUUGUUGGUAGGGUAACGGCCUACCAAGGCUGUGAUGCGUAGCCGAGUUGAGAGACUGAUCGGCCACAAUGGAACUGAGACACGGUCCAUACUCCUACGGGAGGCAGCAGUAGGGAAUCUUCCACAAUGGGCGCAAGCCUGAUGGAGCAACACCGCGUGAGUGAAGAAGGGUUUCGGCUCGUAAAGCUCUGUUGUUAGAGAAGAACGUGCGUGAGAGCAACUGUUCACGCAGUGACGGUAUCUAACCAGAAAGUCACGGCUAACUACGU